RNAcentral lists this transfer RNA (67 nucleotides) under Marmota monax (woodchuck). RNAcentral describes it as "tRNA.Ala". The record is from RNAcentral. Lineage: Eukaryota; Metazoa; Chordata; Mammalia; Rodentia; Sciuridae.
GGUUGUGGCUCAGUGGUAGAGGGCUUGCCUAGCAUGUGUGAGGCACUGGGUUCAACCUUCAGCACCA